This 259-nucleotide unclassified non-coding RNA is filed under the name Hevea brasiliensis (rubber tree). The record is from RNAcentral. Lineage: Eukaryota; Viridiplantae; Streptophyta; Magnoliopsida; Malpighiales; Euphorbiaceae.
AUGGCACAAACCUGAUACUCCUCAAAAUUCUGCAAUCCCAUCUCCAGAUACUUGUAUAACUCAGGCAUGUACUUGCCAAACUCUGGCCCAGAGGCAUAAGCCAGAGCACCAAUUGCAAGCAUUGCUUCCUCAUGCACGGUAGAGCUCCGGCAAGCCAACACUCUGAGGAAUAGAAUCAUAAUUGGAUCUGAAGCCUGGAGUAUAAUGGGCUUGGUCUCAUCAGCACUGCUAAGUUUCUGGAUGAUGACUUGUAGAACAC